This 393-nucleotide unclassified non-coding RNA is filed under the name uncultured fungus. RNAcentral describes it as "partial contains 5.8S ribosomal RNA, internal transcribed spacer 2, and large subunit ribosomal RNA". Lineage: Eukaryota; Fungi. The record is from RNAcentral.
AACGCACCUUGCGCUCCCGGCAGAUCUAAUCUGGGGAGCAUGCCUGUUUGAGGGCCGCGAAUUGUUUCGAACGACAGCUUUCUUGUUUAUUCGAGAGGGCUGGCGGAUCGGUAUUGAGGGUCUUGCCAUUUUCCACAGUGGCUCCCUCGAAAUGCAUUAGCGCAUCCAUUCGAUAGGCAAGACGGACGAAAGCUCGUUGUUUCGCCCACGUCUUUCCCCUGCCGGGUUUUGAUAAUAUCAGGACUUCGGAGAGGAAGGCGGAGGGUCGAGGAGCUGGACGCGACGUUUUGCUGGUUGGAGUGCUUCUGAACCCCGCCCAUGCCUCGCAAGAGGAAGGGAAGAUUAAUUUCAAUUCAUCGGCCUCAGAUUGGUAGGACUACCCGCUGAACUUAA